Molecule: long non-coding RNA, 399 nt
Organism: Melanotaenia boesemani (Boeseman's rainbowfish)
Lineage: Eukaryota; Metazoa; Chordata; Actinopteri; Atheriniformes; Melanotaeniidae
Exons: 3
Source: RefSeq, a predicted model, not a curated record
UGUAGCAGCCUAGUUGGCCUCGACUGUAACACAAUAACUUUAUUUCUUUGGAAAUCCAUCACACUUGCUGCACCAUGGAUGGAGAUGAAAGCGUGUUUUUAGAUAUGGAUCCUACAACAGCCGCAGUAUUAAAAGCUGCCAAUAUUAGCGCAGACAUGCUUCCCACUCUUUCUAAGGAGGACUUGCGUGAUCUCUUUCGGGGGCCAGAGCACUUUUUCAGAAGGAGAGCCAUUUGGAAAGCUACGCAUGGUGAAAAUGAGGGUGAAGAGUCAGACAAGCUUUCACCAGGCACCUACUCUGGAACUUGUGAUGCUAGCUAUACUCCUACUCCAACCUCUUUAUCCAGCCCUUCUUCCUCCUCCACCCCAUUCCCAUCUUCAAAACCGGGAGACCAACAUA